Carassius gibelio (silver crucian carp) is the source of this 3369-nucleotide RNA transcript. It is a transcript of the gene named proline dehydrogenase 2, with no coding region annotated. The transcript is spliced from 2 exons. The record is from RefSeq and is a predicted model, not a curated record. NCBI's taxonomy places the organism in Eukaryota, Metazoa, Chordata, Actinopteri, Cypriniformes, Cyprinidae.
GAACAUGCUCAUCCACAUCUCCGGAACACUCCAGAACACACACCAGAACAUGCUCAUCCACAUCUCCGGAACACUCCAGAACACACACCAGAACACGCUCCUCCUCAUCUCCAGAACACUCCAGAACACACACCAGAACACGCUCUUCCACAUCUCCAGAACACUCCAGAACACACACCAGAACACGCUCCUCCUCAUCUCCGGAACACUCCAGAACACACACCAGAACAUGCUCAUCCACAUCUCCGGAACACUCCAGAACACACACCAGAACAUGCUCAUCCACAUCUCCGGAACACUCCAGAACACACACCAGAACACGCUCCUCCACAUCUCCAGAACACACACCAGAACACGCUCCUCCACAUCUCCUGAACACUCCAGAACACACACCAGAACAUGCUCAUCCACAUCUCCGGAACACUCCAGAACACACACCAGAACAUGCUCAUCCACAUCUCCGGAACACUCCAGAACACACACCAGAACACGCUCCUCCUCAUCUCCAGAACACUCCAGAACACACACCAGAACACGCUCCUCCACAUCUCCUGAACACUCCAGAACACACACCAGAACACGCUCCUCCACAUCUCCGGAACACUCCAGAACACACACCAGAACAUGCUCAUCCACAUCUCCGGAACAAUCCAGAACACACACCAGAACACGCUCCUCCACAUCUCCUGAACACUCCAGAACACACACCAGAACAUGCUCAUCCACAUCUCCGGAACACUCCAGAACACACACCAGAACAUGCUCAUCCACAUCUCCGGAACACUCCAGAACACACACCAGAACACGCUCCUCCUCAUCUCCAGAACACUCCAGAACACACACCAGAACACGCUCUUCCACAUCUCCAGAACACUCCAGAACACACACCAGAACACGCUCCUCCUCAUCUCCGGAACACUCCAGAACACACACCAGAACAUGCUCAUCCACAUCUCCGGAACACUCCAGAACACACACCAGAACAUGCUCAUCCACAUCUCCGGAACACUCCAGAACACACACCAGAACACGCUCCUCCUCAUCUCCAGAACACACACCAGAACAUGCUCAUCCACAUCUCCGGAACACUCCAGAACACACACCAGAACACGCUCCUCCUCAUCUCCAGAACACUCCAGAACACACACCAGAACACGCUCUUCCACAUCUCCGGAACACUCCAGAACACACACCAGAACAUGCUCAUCCACAUCCCCGGAACACUCCAGAACACACACCAGAACAUGCUCAUCCACAUCUCCGGAACACUCCAGAACACACACCAGAACAUGCUCAUCCACAUCUCCGGAACAAUCCAGAACACACACCAGAACAUGCUCAUCCACAUCUCCGGAACACUCCAGAACACACACCAGAACAUGCUCAUCCACAUCUCCGGAACACUCCAGAACACACACCAGAACAUGCUCAUCCACAUCUCCGGAACACUCCAGAACACACACCAGAACAUGCUCAUCCACAUCUCCGGAACAAUCCAGAACACACACCAGAACAUGCUCAUCCACAUCUCCGGAACACUCCAGAACACACACCAGAACACGCUCCUCCACAUCUCCGGAACACUCCAGAACACACACCAGAACAUGCUCAUCCACAUCUCCGGAACACUCCAGAACACACACCAGAACAUGCUCAUCCACAUCUCCGGAACACUCCAGAACACACACCAGAACAUGCUCAUCCACAUCUCCGGAACACUCCAGAACACACACCAGAACAUGCUCAUCCACAUCUCCGGAACACUCCAGAACACACACCAGAACAUGCUCAUCCACAUCUCCACAAAAGGUGUAAUGUCAGUUGAAGUGAUUCAUCAAGCAGCUUUAUGUUGAAUACGGCAGCAGAUUUCUUCAGAUUCCUGUUUCACCCUCAGAAAUCUGCCAAAUGAUAAAUGUGACUUCCACGAAAGCUUCAUUCUGUUCUGCCAUGAAAAAAUAAAAUAAAUAAAAUAAAAAAAUCUGACAAAAAUGUUUGACAGUCAGACAAUUGAUAGUUUUUUUUUUCUCCUCUCGAGAGUUAUAAACUUAGCUUAUCUUUCAAUUGUGACUUUCUCAAAAAUUCUGAGUUUACAUUUCACCAUUCUGUGUGAUCAAAAUUCCUAGGUAAUUGUGACGUUUUAUCCUGUAUUUUGACACACUUUUAUCCUGUCCUGGGUUCAUUGAUCUGUCCGUACACUACCAGUUGAGCAGCAGGUCUUGUGAAUGACUGUCUGUAUGUGAAUAUUUUAACCCAGUGGAGUCUGUAAGCAUACAGUGACCACUAACCACAAUAGUGUUGGAGCCAUGCAUUCUUUGCAGGGAAAUAAAUGUAUGUACAACAUUAUUCACAGACAGUACUUCAGGGAACCUUAUCAAAAUCAUAUUAAUAUAGUGCUAGUAUAACCAAAGUGAAAGGACCACAGUUGAAGUCAGAUUACACAGUGAGACCUGUGUGACGACAUGCAUCUUUUUCCUGAUCAUUUUAGAAUAACUCAAGAGUGACUGUGGAAACUUAAGUGAAAGGGGGUUUGGAGUUAAUUUUUGUUAGUAUUGACUAUUCAGGACAAAGUCUAGCGCAAUCUUUUGUCCAACACAUCACUGCACAACAGCAGAAUCUGUCUUCUUCCCAAGAUCCAAGGUCAGACUGACAUCUGCUCUGUUCCCUUGCUUAUCCUUUCUGCUGCAGUUCUGCCAUUUAUUUUUUAAUCUAUCAAUAUAUAUAUAUAUAUAUAAUGCAGUUGUUUAUGAAAUUGUAAUAUUAGUGCCUUUUACAAUAUCAAUUAGAUAUACCGUGAGAUUAAAGUGGUUUUUGAGCAUAUAGUGUAUUUCCAAAUCCAAAUUAUUCCAAUUUUGGUUUAAUAUAUCAUAAAUGUCUUUUGCAUAUGAAAACUGAACACUGAUGCUCUGUCAUAUUUUACAGAGAAGUGGGAGCACAAACUAUCUGCCCCUUGUCCUUAAUGUCCCAAAGUUCAAACUUCAGUCAGUCAUUAACUAACAUGCCUAAACGAACCUCCCCUCUCUCUGUCCUGCUCAUUUGCUCUCAUCCUCUCAGUUUAUUUGCACUAGAAACAUUGCACAGAACAGUGAUUGUGUCAGUCUUGCCAGACAUAAUUACAGGUGUCCCUGAUGUCUGGUCUGUAGAGAUCUGUGUCGAAUCCAAAAGGUGUCAGUCCAUAUAUGUGUGAAUGAAUGCACACAUGAGCUGUGGUGUUUGCUGAAUGAGAUUUGAAACUGCACGAUAUUGAAGCGUAGUGCUGCAGUGGCUCACUUCUGCAGCUCUUAAGAUAAGCUUUGUGCUGGGAUCAAUAGUUCACCACUUUAGGUUUUAUCAAAACAACUUUUCUUAACAUCUUCAGCAAGUGUCUGAGCA